Molecule: long non-coding RNA, 346 nt
Filed under: Elaeis guineensis (African oil palm)
Lineage: Eukaryota; Viridiplantae; Streptophyta; Magnoliopsida; Arecales; Arecaceae
Description: long non-coding RNA (EGUI_LNC031477)
Source: RNAcentral
CCUUAUGCAAUGCACAUGACAGGAGCUGUAAUAUGAUGACUGGGGUGCACUUGUCAUGUGUCUGUCUUAAAUAAAGAGUAAAGCGAGAAAGCAAAACUGAGGUGGGGUGCAUUUAGUAGUGCAACAUACUUGGGUAGAACAUCCAGUCAGACAUCUCGUAGUUCUGCUUCAUAUAACAGUAAGGAUUUCAGAUGCUUGCACAAUAAUCUUUUAAUCCAUCUGGGGUUGAUUUCUUGUAAAUACAUGCCCCAUGGAAGGUUCUGCAGGAGUUGCCUCCUAAGCCUCAAGACCUCCUAAAUUAUUUCUUACUCAUAGAAUUUGUAACCCCAGAAUAACUCAAAUUUUG